This 494-nucleotide ribosomal RNA is filed under the name uncultured bacterium. RNAcentral's name for it is "partial 16S ribosomal RNA". It matches the Rfam family "Bacterial small subunit ribosomal RNA", at positions 28 to 507 of the family's 1533-position model. The record is from RNAcentral.
GACGAACGCUGGCGGCGUGCUUAACACAUGCAAGUCGAACGGAAAGGCCUGCUUUCCCUUGUGGAUUGCGGGUACUCGAGUGGCGAACGGGUGAGUAACACGUGAGUUAUCUUCCCCCAACUUUGGUAUAAGCCUGGGAAACUGGGUCUAAUUCCCGAUAGGACUGCAGGGGGGUGCCGGUGGUGGAACACGAUUUUCUAGUGGUUGGGGAUGAGCUCGCGGCCUAUCAGCUUGUUGGUGGGGUAAUGGCCGACCAAGGCGGCGACGGGUAGCCGGCCUGGGAGGGUGGACGGCAACAUUGGGACUGAGAUACGGCCCAGACGCCUACGGGAGGCAGCAGUGGGGAAUAAUGAGCAAUGGGCGGAAGCCUGAUGCAGCGACGCCGCGUGGGGGAUGACGGCUUUCGGGUUGUAACCUCCUUUCGACAGCGCGGAAGCCACCUGGUUGGAAGGGUGGUGACGGUAGUGGUAGAAGAAGCACCGGCUAACUACGUG